Molecule: ribosomal RNA, 510 nt
Filed under: bacterium 204
Lineage: Bacteria
Description: bacterial SSU rRNA
Rfam family: Bacterial small subunit ribosomal RNA
Source: RNAcentral
UGAGAGGAGAAUCCCCCACACUGGUACUGAGACACGGACCAGACUCCUACGGGAGGCAGCAGUAAGGAAUAUUGGUCAAUGGGCGGAAGCCUGAACCAGCCAUGCCGCGUGCAGGAUGACUGCCCUAUGGGUUGUAAACUGCUUUUGUCCAGGAAUAAACCUUUCUACGUGUAGGGAGCUGAAUGUACUGGAAGAAUAAGGAUCGGCUAACUCCGUGCCAGCAGCCGCGGUAAUACGGAGGAUCCGAGCGUUAUCCGGAUUUAUUGGGUUUAAAGGGUGCGUAGGCGGCCUAUUAAGUCAGGGGUGAAAUACGGUGGCUCAACCAUCGCAGUGCCUUUGAUACUGAUGGGCUUGAAUCCAUUUGAAGUGGGCGGAAUAAGACAAGUAGCGGUGAAAUGCAUAGAUAUGUCUUAGAACUCCGAUUGCGAAGGCAGCUCACUAAGCUGGUAUUGACGCUGAUGCACGAAAGCGUGGGGAUCGAACAGGAUUAGAUACCCUGGUAGUCCACGC